RNAcentral lists this ribosomal RNA (497 nucleotides) under uncultured bacterium. RNAcentral describes it as "partial 16S ribosomal RNA". It matches the Rfam family "Bacterial small subunit ribosomal RNA", at positions 28 to 507 of the family's 1533-position model. The record is from RNAcentral.
GAUGAACGCUGGCGGCGUGCCUAAUACAUGCAAGUCGAGCGAACAGACGAGGAGCUUGCUCCUCUGACGUUAGCGGCGGACGGGUGAGUAACACGUGGAUAACCUACCUAUAAGACUGGGAUAACUUCGGGAAACCGGAGAUAAUACCGGAUAAUAUAUUGAACCGCAUGGUUCAAUAGUGAAAGACGGUUUUGCUGUCACUUAUAGAUGGAUCCGCGCCGCAUUAGCUAGUUGGUAAGGUAACGGCUUACCAAGGCAACGAUGCGUAGCCGACCUGAGAGGGUGAUCGGCCACACUGGAACUGAGACACGGUCCAGACUCCUACGGGAGGCAGCAGUAGGGAAUCUUCCGCAAUGGGCGAAAGCCUGACGGAGCAACGCCGCGUGAGUGAUGAAGGUCCUCGGAUCGUAAAACUCUGUUAUUAGGGAAGAACAAAUGUGUAAGUAACUAUGCACGUCUUGACGGUACCUAAUCAGAAAGCCACGGCUAACUACGUG